GAAGAGUCUCUGGCUCUUUAGAAUACUGAUCCCAUUGAAGAUACCACGCUGCAUGUGUCCUUAGUAGUCAUGUCUCCUUAGGCUCCUCUUGGACAUUCUGAGCAUGUGAGACCUGAGGACUGCAAACAGCUAUAAGAGGCUCCAAAUUAAUCAUAUCUUUCCCUUUGAGAAUCUGGCCAAGCUCCAGCUAAUCUACUUGGAUGGGUUGCCAGCUAUCUGGAGAAAAAGGUGGAGAUGGGGCAUGAGGAUCCUCCAGGGGAAAAGCUCACUACCACUGGGCAACAACCCUAGGUCAGGAGGUUCUGUCAAGAUACUUUCCUGGUCCCAGAUAGGAAGAUAAAGUCUCAAAAACAACCACCACACGUCAAGCUCUUCAUUGUUCCUAUCUGCCAAAUCAUUAUACUUCCUACAAGCAGUGCAGAGAGCUGAGUCUUCAGCAGGUCCAAGAAAUUUGAACACACUGAAGGAAGUCAGCCUUCCCACCUGAAGAUCAACAUGCCUGGCACUCUAGCACUUGAGGAUAGCUGAAUGAAUGUGUCUUACCCAUUUCCAUGUUUCUCUUGCUAAUUUCUUUCGUGUGUGCCUUUGCCUCAUUUUCUCUUUUUGUUCACAAGAGUGGUCUGUGUCUUGUCUUAGACAUAUCUCUCAUUUUUCAUUUUGUUGCUAUUUCUCUUUGCUCUCCUAGAUGUGGCUCUUCUUUCACGCUUUAUUUCAUGUCUCCUUUUUGGGUCACAUGCUGUGUGCUUUUUGUCCUUUUCUUGUUCUGUCUACCUCUCCUUUCUCUGCCUACCUCUCUUUUCUCUUUGUGAACUGUGAUUAUUUGUUACCCCUUCCCCUUCUCGUUCGUUUUAAAUUUCACCUUUUUUCUGAGUCUGGCCUCCUUUCUGCUGUUUCUACUUUUUAUCUCACAUUUCUCAUUUCUGCAUUUCCUUUCUGCCUCUCUUGGGCUAUUCUCUCUCUCCUCCCCUGCGUGCCUCAGCAUCUCUUGCUGUUUGUGAUUUUCUAUUUCAGUAUUAAUCUCUGUUGGCUUGUAUUUGUUCUCUGCUUCUUCCCUUUCUACUCACCUUUGAGUAUUUCAGCCUCUUCAUGAAUCUAUCUCCCUCUCUUUGAUUUCAUGUAAUCUCUCCUUAAAUAUUUCUUUGCAUAUGUGGGCAAGUGUACGUGUGUGUGUGUCAUGUGUGGCAGAGGGGCUUCCUAACCCCUGCCUGAUAGGUGCAGAACGUCGGCUAUCAGAGCAAGCAUUGUGGAGCGGUUCCUUAUGCCAGGCUGCCAUGUGAGAUGAUCCAAGACCAAAACAAGGCCCUAGACUGCAGUAAAACCCAGAACUCAAGUAGGGCAGAAGGUGGAAGGCUCAUAUGGAUAGAAGGCCCAAAGUAUAAGACAGAUGGUUUGAGACUUGAGACCCGAGGACUAAGAUGGAAAGCCCAUGUUCCAAGAUAGAUAGAAGCCUCAGGCCUGAAACCAACAAAAGCCUCAAGAGCCAAGAAAACAGAGGGUGGCCUGAAUUGGACCGAAGGCCUGAGUUGGAUGGAAGUCUCAAGGCUUGAGUUAGAAGUCUUAAGACCUGGGACAGGACACAUGGAAGGCCUAAGAACUGAGACUUGUGACACAAGGCCAACGACCUAAGAUUAGCCCAGGGUUGUAGCUGGAAGACCUACAACCCAAGGAUGGAAGGCCCCUGUCACAAAGCCUACCUAGAUGGAUAGAGGACCCAAGCGAAAAAGGUAUCUCAAGACUAACGGCCGGAAUCUGGAGGCCCAUGACCCAGAACCCAGGAAGGAUAGAAGCUUGAAGACCUGGGGAAAUCCCAAGAUGAGAACCCUAAACCCUACCUCUUUUCUAUUGUUUACACUUCUUACUCUUAGAUAUUUCCAGUUCUCCUGUUUAUCUUUAAGCCUGAUUCUUUUGAGAUGUACUUUUUGAUGUUGCCGGUUACCUUUAGAUUGACAGUAUUAUGCCUGGGCCAGUCUUGAGCCAGCUUUAAAUCACAGCUUUUACCUAUUUGUUAGGCUAUAGUGUUUUGUAAACUUCUGUUUCUAUUCACAUCUUCUCCACUUGAGAGAGACACCAAAAUCCAGUCAGUAUCUAAUCUGGCUUUUGUUAACUUCCCUCAGGAGCAGACAUUCAUAUAGGUGAUACUGUAUUUCAGUCCUUUCUUUUGACCCCAGAAGCCCUAGACUGAGAAGAUAAAAUGGUCAGGUUGUUGGGGAAAAAAAAGUGCCAGGCUCUCUAGAGAAAAAUGUGAAGAGAUGCUCCAGGCCAAUGAGAAGAAUUAGACAAGAAAUACACAGAUGUGCCAGACUUCUGAGAAGCACCUGCCAGCAACAGCUUCCUUCUUUGAGCUUAGUUUCUG
Molecule: long non-coding RNA, 2353 nt
Filed under: Homo sapiens (human)
Lineage: Eukaryota; Metazoa; Chordata; Mammalia; Primates; Hominidae
Description: non-protein coding XIST:14
Source: RNAcentral